This 5424-nucleotide small RNA is filed under the name Rattus norvegicus (Norway rat). Its description in RNAcentral is "uncharacterized LOC102546539". Lineage: Eukaryota; Metazoa; Chordata; Mammalia; Rodentia; Muridae. The record is from RNAcentral.
GCAGAGAGCUGCUGCGGGCCCGCAUCUACAUUUUCUGUUGUGAUGGUUCUUUGGCAGCACUGGAAACUAGGAUUCCUUCUCAUUUUUCCUUUUACAUUUUCUAAGAUAUCAACAUAACCUAGUCACAGGAUCUUCAAAACUUGGUUCAACUCUUUACUCUCUGACAGCUACUUCUACUUCCCAAGCCGCCUUCAUUUUCUGCCUGUGAAACCAUGGCAAGAUCCUAUUUCCUACUACCACAUGCAGACCUGUUAUACCAUUGUCCAUCUAAUACCCAGACUAUUUCAGUAUAACUCCCAGAUCACAUCAUUCUCAUACUUAAAAUUCUCCAUUGGCUCUGCAUUUCUCUUGGCCUCCUUGCCAAGUUCUUGGUGAUUAUCUUGAGUUAGACCUAUCUUCCUCUGGUUUCAUUGUCUAUGGUUCUCUUUGCCUAGGUUUCUAUGCCUACCUUCCAUAAGGGAUGCUAACUGCACUCUUCCUGCAGACCUGUGCUGCUACUUUUGAAAGUGCUUUGCCCAUGGUACCUAUAGUGACUGGCUCCUUUUUCGAUCAUUCACAUCACAGCUCAGAUUUAGCUGGCACGUCAACUUAAUGAAAGUUGGUAGGCAUCCUAUAACUAGGACCCCUCUCUCACCUUCUGCUAAGUAUUUUAAAUUGGAGAUAUUUAUUUUAAUAGGGAAAACUGAAGGAGUCAUGUGAGAAAGUGUCCUUUGGCUAAUAUCUAGUCUUUGCUGAUGAAUUAUUUUCACAGCUUCUUUUAGGAUAGCAGUUGCAAAGGAAACAUAAUUUGUUCUCUGAGAAUUACAGCUUAUAUUUGACCACAAGCACUCAUCUAUUGCUGGCUUUUACUUAAGCUAUUUAAAAGGGGUCAAGCUGUGUACAGCAUAGAUGGAGAAACAAAAGACGAAUGAACUGUGGGCAGCUGCCUGAAGCUUCACAUUGACAUGUUUCCAGCAGAGAGCGCAGGCGACGCGUGCGCUCUGGGACGGGAAGCCAUCAGACUGUGGUACAUAAUUAGACAUGCAUUCUCAAGUUUGCCCCUCUGGUUCAAUAUUUUCAACUUGAACAUGUGUCUGGGGUGAUAGCACACCGUAGGGAGCAUUACAUGAAAAGAUGCUUCUGAGGAGAAGAGCAUGCAAGCUUAUUGAAGAAAAGGAUUCUAGUGGAAACCUCUUUCCCACCAUUUUCCACAGGGUACCAUCUGUUUAUUUCAGGGACCCUCCCCCCCCGAGCAACAUUGAUAGUUCCUUCCUGAACAUGUUGCUGCUGUAGGACAGAGGGACCAUUUAUACAGUUUUGUAGUUCUCUAAUUCUAUGUACUAGAAAAGUAACAUUUAAAACCAAAGCCAAAUACUUAGCAAGACAAGCAGCCAUGAGAGGUCCUGUCCCCACACUCAGUCCCUCCUUUUGGCUCUUAAACUGCAUGUUCAUAGCUCCUCUUUGUACCUGAGCUUCAUUCAAACACCCUAUGGAAGUCACUCUACCACCCAUUUCUACCUUCAAGAUCUAGAGUCCUGCCUUUCUCAUACAUCUCUGCUGUCUAGCAUUUUUAUCUGAUGCUUUUUUUUUUUUUUUUUGUAUUUUCAGUUUCAUUCCCUGGGUUGAUGUGUAAGGAUAUUUAUCGCUAGGAGGGCAUUCCCACUGAAGACUGUGGUACAGGAAUAGGCUCUGCCUAUUUUGGGUGUGCCCUCAAAUGCAGGAGUGGAUCUUGCGGGGGCAUCACUGAUCUCACUGCUGGUCACCACCGGGAAAUGCUUACUUCAUGGAGGCUAUUGUCACAGGGAUGCUAUUUUUUUCUGUUAAACAUACUUUCUGUAGUUUAAAUCUUGGAAGAGUUAACUUUGGAAGAUGGAGCAAUGGCUCAGUGAUUAACAGCAAUUGUUACACUUUCAGAGGACCCAAGUUCAGUUCUUAGCACCGACUAAUCAGGCCUGUAACUUCAACUUUAGGAGUUGACCUGAUAUACUCUUCUGGCCUCCCCUGACACAGGCAGGCAGACACACACACACACACACACACACACACACACACACACACACACACACACAUUAUAAAAUUAAAAACCUUUUAAAAAGAACUUUUUCCUGAGGACAAUAAAACUAGUAACACCAAGAAAUUAGCUUAGAAAUCUGUGUACCUGUUUAUUGUCACAUGAUACCGGAAUCUCUCCUUUUUGACACUUAAAUAAUUGUAUUUCUAUAACUUUUCAUAGUUUUUUUGGGGAUCAUAAAUGGAAAGUCUAAUUAAAGUUGAAGCUAAUACUCAGUUUAUGGGUUUGAUUUAAUAAGUAUGAAAUUAGCUUUAAUAUUCAGAUGGUCUUUUGAGAAAAACACAUUUGUUCAUUAAAUGUGGCGUCCCUAGUUCCCUUCCCUCUGUGGUUGUAUAAGAUCCAAAUGACAGGGUUGAUCCGAGAAGUUAUUAUGUUGUUUUAAAAGUCAUCAAAUGUUUUCACAACUGUAAUCUUAUUUAAAUACAGUCUCUGUUCUCAGAAAACUUACAUUGAAAAAAUAAAACUAUUAAUGCACCUUUCUUGGAGAACUAUUAAAUAGAGAUGUGGAUACAUUUAAAUGGAAUAAGAGAGAAAGGUCAGCAUAAAUGGAAUAAAUCUCAAUGACAUUCAGCCUGUCCACACUUCUGGUUGGCUUUGUAAUAAGUAUAUGAGCCUCCAUAUUAUUGGUAUUUUAUGUCACCUGUUUUCCCUUUGUAAGAAUGGCCAUGGCUAUUCAUGGGCUGUCUGAAUAUGGAACAUGUUGUGCCUACUCACCUUCGACUGCAUGAGUCAUUUAGACAACCAGAGAUAUACACUCACGGAAUGAGAUCACUCCCCCAGACACCAAAUAAUAAUGUCUGCCCUUAGGGACAAGCAGAGGAGCGGCUGCACCUGGACUCCUUGUGUUACACCCUGUGUCUCUUUACCUUUGCAGGCUUGCUUGGUUCUCCUCCAAAGAACCACCUAUAGUGCUUAUAAUCUCUUACAUUUUCUCUAUCAGUUUCUGGACUCCGAGGACGUGUUGCCUCGAGUAGGCACCAUACAUUUCUUAGGGAAGAUUUUGCAGCUGAAAACUAAGAGUUCAUUUAUGAGAUCGGUUUUUAAUAGUUUUCUUUCUCUUGCUCAGCCCUAGCCUGGACUUGUUUAUUAUACUGUGGUCACACAACUCAUAAUGGCUCCAGGGUUAGAAGGACUACAGAGCUCACUUAUGUGAUUCUGAGCAGGAAUUCUGUGUUACAGAACAAGACAUGCUAUGUGUUCAUUAAAAAUCUGAAGAAGCCAGCAUCUUAAGUGAAGAUUUAUUAUAUGUUUUCAAGAUCCUCAUUCCGUGAUCCUAAGGCUGGACACAGGGAGUAGAAUGCUAUGCCUGUGAACUUUGCUUAGCUUAUACCAUGUAGCGUGUUACUCGGAUUUUGGCCACUGUGACACACACUGGAGAUAAUCAGCUUAGAAGGAGAAAGGUUAGUUUUAACUCAGAUGUGGGGUGGGAGGGGUUGUUCCAGUGAGUUGGGUUCAUUGCUCAUUGCUCAAAAGCAAUGAGGCAGGAAACCAUGGCAAGAGCACGUGAUGGUGGGAGCUGCUUGUCUCCUGGUUGCUAGGAGGUGAAAAAAGGCAGAGAAGUUUGGGCAGCAUUGCCUUCAAAGGCACAUUCCCCAUCACUCAACUUCCUCAACCAGGUCCUGCCCCUUACAGAUCUCACUGCUAUCCCACAGAGUUGUUGACUGAGAUCCAAGUAUUCACAUAUGGCUCUAUGGGAGACAUUUCAUUUCAAAAUUAAGUCACAAGUGUUUCUCUUUGUUCUCUCAACAGGAUAUGAUGCCAUAUCAGUUAUUACUGAGUGGGUUCCAUUUCAACAAUAAACAACUCUCAAUCUCUUGUGAGGGACCAAUAUUGGUACCUUAAUAUUCAUGGAAACUAUAGAUUGUAUUAGGUUUAGUCUUUUGUGCUACACAUUCGAUGGGUUUGGCUGGAUAAACGAUGCCAGGUACCCAUCAUGACAACCUUAUGCCGAGUAGUCCCAUGGACCCCAAAGUCCCCUGUGUACUAUUUACUCUUCACUUUCUAUAUUUCACAUGGAAAUUACCAGUUUUUAAUGUCUUCCCAUUUCUAGACGGCAACCCAUCACACAGUAAUUGCUCUUUUCACGUGACAGCAUACAUCCAAGUUCCCCACCUGUGUGUUCAUUCACUUGGUUCUGCAGGGACUCCUGCAGUUGUCUGCAUAUCUCACUUUUUUCAUAAUUCACCCAUCGAAGACUAUUAAGGUUGCUUCCAAUUUUUAAUAACAGAAGUCCCAACUUGUGUGAGUGUAUAUUUUCAACUGUAGGUCAUAUAGUGUAUCAGUUACUUUUUUUGUUGUUGAUGAGAAAAAGCACCCAGACCAAGAGCAGCUUAAGGAAGAAAGGACAUACUUUGGCUUCAGAGGGUCAGAGUUCACAGUGGCAGGGAAGUCAUGGUAGUAAGAAACUGAAGCAUAGAGCUGGGAGAGCACCUUUACCCACAAAUGCAAGAGAGGGAAACUUGGAAGCAGGUCAAGCUAUAAACUCAAAAGUCUCACCCCUACCCUGUGAUCUGCCUCCAUCAACAAGACCACACCUCCUAAUAUCCAAAUACCUGAGCCUAUUAGGGAUACUAUCGUUCAAACCACCACAAAUGGUGAGAGGGAAAUCUCUGAGAACAAAAUAUGAUGUUAAUUUUUUAAACCUAAGCAACAUGGUCAUUCUGUGUUGAUUUGGGGAUAUUGUUCUAUGUUAUUCCAACAGGAAGACUCCAGUUCAUAAAUACCUUUUAGAUUAUUGCAGGGUUAUAAGAUCAGCAAAAGAGAAGGAUGGAGGAAGAAGUCUAUGUGUUUUGCAUCAGCAAUUCAGGACUGUCAUCUGGAAAUGACCCCACUCAUGCUCACUGGUAGCAUGCCCUGUCUCCACAACAGGGAGCCAAGAAGUUCAGCUUUUUAAUUAUCCAGAAGAAAUGGACAAAUGGAUACCAGCCAUUAGCUCUAAUAUGGGAGAUGUAUCUACUGGGUUGCUUUGAGGGCCAAUCCUACCAUUCCACAGCAGCGGCCUUCAUCAAGGGAACAAGCGAGAGCACACGCUGCCAAGGACAUGGGAGGAAGAGCCCUUCGCUCACCCAUGGUGGGAGUGGGAGCUGAUGCAGCUACUGUGGGAAUCAGCGGGCAGCCUCUCAAAAACAAACAGUAGGACUGCUGUAAGACACAACUACCCCACUCCUUGGCAUUUUCUAAGUCAGCAUACUACAGGGAUAUCUGCACAUCCACAUUCAUAGCUGUGGCAUUUACAACGGUUAGGAAAUGGAGCCGGCCUCUGUGCCCAUCAACAGAUGAAUGGAUGCAUAUGUGGAAAUUUUCACAAAGGGGUUUAUUCUGCCAUAAAGAAAACAUAGUCCUGAGAUGGGUGGUGGUGUCACACACCUUUAAUC